ACGUAGAGUGUAAAGGCAAAAGAGAGCUUGAUUGCAAGACAUACAGGUCGAGCAAGGAUGAAAAUCGGACUUAGUGAUCCGGUGGUUCUGCGUGGAAGGGCCAUCGCUCAACGGAUAAAAGCUACCCUGGGGAUAACAGGCGUAUCUCCCCCAAGAGUCCACAUCGACGGGGAGGUUUGGCACCUCGAUGUCGGCUCAUCACAUCCUGGGGCUGUAGUAGGUCCCAAGGGUUGGGCUGUUCGCCCAUUAAAGUGGUACGCGAGCUGGGU
Molecule: ribosomal RNA, 269 nt
Filed under: Clostridioides difficile
Lineage: Bacteria; Bacillati; Bacillota; Clostridia; Peptostreptococcales; Peptostreptococcaceae
Description: partial 23S ribosomal RNA
Rfam family: Bacterial large subunit ribosomal RNA
Source: RNAcentral